This 541-nucleotide ribosomal RNA is filed under the name uncultured bacterium. RNAcentral's name for it is "bacterial SSU rRNA". It matches the Rfam family "Bacterial small subunit ribosomal RNA", at positions 777 to 1331 of the family's 1533-position model. The record is from RNAcentral.
AAUAGAUACCCGGGUAGUCCACGCCGUAAACGAUGGAUACUAGCUGUUGGGGGUAUCGACCCCCCCAGUAGCGAAGCUAACGCGUUAAGUAUCCCGCCUGUGGAGUACGGUCGCAAGACUAAAGCAUAAAGGAAUUGACGGGGACCCGCACAAGCGGUGGAUUGUGUUCUUUAAUUCGAUGAUAAACGAAGAACCUUACCAGGGUUUGACAUCCCUUGAAUUAUGCCGAAAGGCGUGAGUGCUUUAUUGAACAAGGUGACAGGUGAUGCAUGGCCGUCGUCAGCUCGUGUCGUGAGAUGUUUGGUUAAGUCCAUCAACGAGCGCAACCCUUGUCUUCAGUUGGAUUUUUCUGAAGAGACUGCCCCGGCAACGGGGAGGAAGGAGGGGAUGAUGUCAGGUCAGUAUUUCCCUUACAUCCUGGGCUAGAAACGCAAUACAAUGGCGAGUACAAUGCGCAGCGAAGCGGCAACGUGAAGCAAAUCGCAUCAAAACUCGUCCCAGUUCGGAUUAGAGGCUGAAACUCGCCUCUAUGAAGUCGGAA